GCGUCGGUGGUACAACUGUUUUAGCACAUGCUCCUGGAAAGAGUAGGAUCUGGGUUCGAAUCUCGGCUAACGCA
Parelaphostrongylus tenuis is the source of this 74-nucleotide non-coding RNA. Lineage: Eukaryota; Metazoa; Nematoda; Chromadorea; Rhabditida; Metastrongylidae. The record is from the annotation of a GenBank genome assembly.